UUGAAGAUCAAAGGAGCAAUGCGCUUAGGGAGGGGGUUGCGUCCCAUUAGUUAGUUGGCGGGGUAAUGGCCCACCAAGACUANGAUCGGUAUCUGGCCUGAGAGGGCGCCCAGCCACACUGGAACUGAAACACGGUCCAGACUCCUANCGGGAGGCAGCAGUGGGGAAUUUUGCAGCAAUGGGGGAAACCCUGACGCAGCAANCGCCGCGUGGAGGAAUGAAGUCCCUUCGGGUCGUAAACUCCUGUCGAUCGGGACGAUAUGACGUACCGUGAGAGCC
This 279-nucleotide ribosomal RNA is filed under the name uncultured bacterium. Its description in RNAcentral is "partial 16S ribosomal RNA". It matches the Rfam family "Bacterial small subunit ribosomal RNA", at positions 194 to 474 of the family's 1533-position model. The record is from RNAcentral.